This 449-nucleotide ribosomal RNA is filed under the name uncultured bacterium. RNAcentral's name for it is "partial 16S ribosomal RNA". It matches the Rfam family "Bacterial small subunit ribosomal RNA", at positions 29 to 523 of the family's 1533-position model. The record is from RNAcentral.
AGCGAACGCUGGCGGCAGGCCUAACACAUGCAAGUCGAACGGACCCUUCGGGGUUAGUGGCGGACGGGUGAGUAACACGUGGGAACGUGCCUUUAGGUUCGGAAUAGCUCCUGGAAACGGGUGGUAAUGCCGAAUGUGCCCUUCGGGGAAAAGAUUUAUCGCCUUUAGAGCGGCCCGCGUCUGAUUAGCUAGUUGGUGAGGUGAUGGCUCACCAAGGCGACGAUCAGUAGCUGGUCUGAGAGGAUGACCAGCCACAUUGGGACUGAGACACGGCCCAAACUCCUACGGGAGGCAGCAGUGGGGAAUCUUGCGCAAUGGGCGAAAGCCUGACGCAGCCAUGCCGCGUGGAUGAUGAAGGUCUUAGGAUUGUAAAAUCCUUUCACCGGUGAAGAUAAUGACUGUAGCCGGAGAAGAAGCCCCGGCUAACUUCGUGCCAGCCGCCGCCGUAA